Non-coding RNA from Paramuricea clavata, 263 nucleotides. NCBI's taxonomy places the organism in Eukaryota, Metazoa, Cnidaria, Anthozoa, Malacalcyonacea, Plexauridae. The record is from the annotation of a GenBank genome assembly.
CACGAAUCAAAUAUGGUUUUUCUUCUACGACAUUAUCCUAUAAACUAGCGGCCAUUGAGAGUCCAUGUGCUCUCUACCUGUUCGCAGGUUGUACCUCCCUAAAAUCCUACUACAUUCCAUUCCUUUUUAAAAAAAGAGAACAUAUGUUUGGUAAUAUAAACGUAUUUAGCUAACAAGGAAGACGCUUGUUCUUAUAACAAACACAAAGUAAUUGUAAAUCUUCAAGUUGCUUUUGAGCGUUCUGUCCAAUCUUAUACUUAUCG